CACGUAGGCGGACCAGAAAGUUGGGGGUGAAAUCCCGGGGCUCAACCCCGGAACUGCCUUCAAAACUAUUGGUCUGGGGUUCGAGAGAGGUGAGUGGAAUACCGAGUGUAGAGGUGAAAUUCGUAGAUAUUCGGUGGAACACCAGUGGCGAAGGCGGCUCACUGGCUCGAUACUGACGCUGAGGUGCGAAAGCGUGGGGAGCAAACA
This 207-nucleotide ribosomal RNA is filed under the name uncultured bacterium. RNAcentral describes it as "partial 16S ribosomal RNA". It matches the Rfam family "Bacterial small subunit ribosomal RNA", at positions 568 to 774 of the family's 1533-position model. The record is from RNAcentral.